UUCCGUGCUGUAUUCAGAGUGGUGUCCAUCAUGUGAAUUAUUUAUGAAUGACACUGCACUGGAUACAGUAAGGUUCA
Cricetulus griseus (Chinese hamster) is the source of this 77-nucleotide microRNA precursor. NCBI's taxonomy places the organism in Eukaryota, Metazoa, Chordata, Mammalia, Rodentia, Cricetidae. The record is from Ensembl.